UCCGUAGGCGGGUUUAUAAGUCAGUGGUGAAAGUUUGCGGCUCAACCGUAAAAUUGCCAUUGAUACUGUAGAUCUUGAAUUAGUGUGAAGUGGUUAGAAUAAGUAGUGUAGCGGUGAAAUGCAUAGAUAUUACUUAGAAUACCAAUUGCGAAGGCAGAUCACUAACAUUAUAUUGACGCUGAUGGACGAAAGCGUGGGGAGCGAACAGGAUUAGAUACCCUGGUAGUCC
This 229-nucleotide ribosomal RNA is filed under the name uncultured bacterium. Its description in RNAcentral is "partial 16S ribosomal RNA". It matches the Rfam family "Bacterial small subunit ribosomal RNA", at positions 568 to 796 of the family's 1533-position model. The record is from RNAcentral.